GGGAAUCUUCCACAAUGGACGCAAGUCUGAUGGAGCAACGCCGCGUGAGUGAAGAAGGUUUUCGGAUCGUAAAGCUCUGUUGUUGGUGAAGAAGGAUAGAGGCAGUAACUGGCCUUAAUUUGACGGUAAUCAACCAGAAAGUCACGGCUAACUACGUGCCAGCAGCCGCGGUAAUACGUAGGUGGCAAGCGUUGUCCGGAUUUAUUGGGCGUAAAGCGAGCGCAGGCGGAUUGAUAAGUCUGAUGUGAAAGCCUUCGGCUCAACCGAAGAACUGCAUCAGAAACUGUCAAUCUUGAGUGCAGAAGAGGAGAGUGGAACUCCAUGUGUAGCGGUGGAAUGCGUAGAUAUAUGGAAGAACACCAGUGGCGAAGGCGGCUCUCUGGUCUGUAACUGACGCUGAGGCUCGAAAGCAUGGGUAGCGAA
This 423-nucleotide ribosomal RNA is filed under the name uncultured bacterium. RNAcentral's name for it is "bacterial SSU rRNA". It matches the Rfam family "Bacterial small subunit ribosomal RNA", at positions 357 to 772 of the family's 1533-position model. The record is from RNAcentral.